UACUGACUCUGAAAAAUCAGUCCCCAGAACUGCUGUGAAGUACUAAGAUUCAAUGACUUCUUACUACACCAUCUUUCCAUAUUUAAGUCCUACUUCACUUCAGCUUUUGCUUAUGAUCAAUUCCACUAUCCUAUCAUUUGGGGCUUUUCAAAUGGUAAAGGUUUUGAAUUGGUGCUACAGCCCAAAUUUUCAGGUGUCUUUAAAGAGAGAGCAAGGUGUGUGUGGGGGGUGGGGGGGAGGAAGUGGGUGGAAAGCUAUUAUUUAUUCACAGAUGCUUUUAGGAAAAAAAGUCUCACUGUAGCAAUACAGCUGAAACUGGAACCAGAAGAAUAAAAAUGAUCCUUAAGGGGUUUUUUCCCCCCCUAGGGAGAAAUAAUUGUUUCAAGAAAGAAACUGGCAGCGUUCUGG
Molecule: long non-coding RNA, 408 nt
Organism: Perognathus longimembris pacificus (Pacific pocket mouse)
Lineage: Eukaryota; Metazoa; Chordata; Mammalia; Rodentia; Heteromyidae
Exons: 3
Source: RefSeq, a predicted model, not a curated record